Molecule: long non-coding RNA, 1313 nt
Organism: Dalotia coriaria
Lineage: Eukaryota; Metazoa; Arthropoda; Insecta; Coleoptera; Staphylinidae
Exons: 2
Source: RefSeq, a predicted model, not a curated record
AGUCGUAAAAUCUAUUAAAAUCUCACUUGGAGACACCACUCGGCGAUAACGAAUUGUCAGAUUGCGAAAAAAUAAACAUGCUUGACAAAAGCUCACAGACUGCUGGGAUCCUGACCUACUUGAUGAUUUCAAACAGUUUAAGCCCACCAUUGAGCCGCUCGGCGCGUUCGGUCAGACGCGUUUAGUUAUUCCGUUGAUAUACGCAUAAUAAAGACAAUAAACGAAAUAAAAUCGCCGAUAAAAUAUAUAAAAACGAGUAUAAAACUAAUAAGCGUAGGUCAUAAUAACGCCGCAGUGUCAUGCAAGUUUAAUAAACGUUCACUACUGUUCAAUGUUUACCAGAACAUUGAAGCGUUUUUUUUAGUGCUGAAGAAAACGUGCGAUGCUUAGCACAAAAUAAAAUAACCUGCAUGCUGUAAUAAUGUUACAUAACAGUCGCAUUAAUUAUUAUUAUUUUGACGAUUGUAAAGAUAUCGCCGGAUAUAACUUACACGGACGGCAAUUAUAAGUUUACGAGUUUUGUUAGAUAAAAAUAUGCAUGGGUAGCUAAUUCUGUGCAAUUACAACCGGUGGCUGUUCCGGGCUAUUUGCACGUCGUGCAAACAAACAAUAUUUACACCCAAAAUUUGCUCGUGAGUGCAAGUCGAAAUUAAAAUUGAGAAAUGAGCACUGCCAAAGCACCGCUUGCUAGCUCACUCGCGCUGUGACGGCCAGGACCGGUUUUUCAUAAUUCCCUGCUCCGACCGUCCCCACCCUCGAGCUUUCUGCACUUAACGUAGGUGGAAAUGGUUAAACCGGAUGGUGGGGAAGCUGGUGGAGUGGGGCGAGCGGCAAACGCGCCGAUAAAAAACGUGCGCCAGAAGGGCGGGAGGGACGCACCGCCUAUAACCGCGUGCAGGCGCGGAACCGGGGGGCGGAGUCGUAAUCAUAAAAUUUACGACGUGCUAUUUAAGUGCUAUCUGGCGGACGAGCAACGAAGCGUGCCGCGGCGUGGCCAUUACGGCGACGCCAUUGGACGAUUCUCGCUUCGGUCGACGCACCGACACAGCCGCAACACUAAAUCUAUAUCCACCGACAUGCCGCUGCCACCAGACUGCUGUUGUUCAAACGGGACGGAAUAACUGCCCGAUUGUGAGGCAUGUCGUGUAUUGUUGACUAUUUUAGAAUCGCCGUCUGCACAACUUCACCAACACCGCUCGAGGCACUCGGACAUGACUAGAUGGAUCGAAUGCAUCUUACAACAUUCACUUCCAACAAUUUCACAACUAAACAAUCUGUUAUGAUCUGAUAUAUGAAAUAUAAGAUUAUAAUCA